RNAcentral lists this ribosomal RNA (784 nucleotides) under uncultured bacterium. RNAcentral describes it as "bacterial SSU rRNA". It matches the Rfam family "Bacterial small subunit ribosomal RNA", at positions 670 to 1455 of the family's 1533-position model. The record is from RNAcentral.
CACGUGUAGCAGUGAAANGCGUAGAGAUGUGGAGGAAUACCGAUGGCGAAGGCAGCCUCCUGGGAUAACACUGACGUUCAUGCCCGAAAGCGUGGGUAGCAAACAGGAUUAGAUACCCUGGUAGUCCACGCCCUAAACGAUGUCGAUUAGCUGUUGGGCAGCAUGACUGCUUAGUAGCGAAGCUAACGCGUGAAAUCGACCGCCUGGGGAGUACGGUCGCAAGAUUAAAACUCAAAGGAAUUGACGGGGACCCGCACAAGCGGUGGAUGAUGUGGAUUAAUUCGAUGCAACGCGAAGAACCUUACCUGGUCUUGACAUGUACGGAACCCUCCAGAGACGGAGGGGUGCCUUCGGGAGCCGUAACACAGGUGCUGCAUGGCUGUCGACAGCUCGUGUCGUGAGAUGUUGGGUUAAGUCCCGCAACGAGCGCAACCCUUGUCAUUAGUUGCCAUCAUUAAGUUGGGCACUCUAAUGAGACUGCCGGUGACAAGCCGGAGGAAGGUGGGGAUGACGUCAAGUCCUCAUGGCCCUUAUGACCAGGGCUUCACACGUCAUACAAUGGUCGGUACAGAGGGUAGCCAAGCCGCGAGGUGGAGCCAAUCUCACAGAACCGAUCGUAGUCCGGAUUGCACUCUGCAACUCGAGUGCAUGAAGUCGGAAUCGCUUGUAAUCGCAGGUCAGCAUACUGCGGUGAAUACGUUCCCGGGUCUUGUACACACCGCCCGUCACACCAUGGGAGUGGGGGAUACCAGAAGUAGGUAGGGUAACCGCAAGGAGCCCGCUU